This 429-nucleotide ribosomal RNA is filed under the name uncultured bacterium. Its description in RNAcentral is "bacterial SSU rRNA". It matches the Rfam family "Bacterial small subunit ribosomal RNA", at positions 355 to 775 of the family's 1533-position model. The record is from RNAcentral.
UGGGGAAUCUUGCGCAAUGGACGAAAGUCUGACGCAGCGACGCCGCGUGGGUGAAGAAGGCCUUCGGGUUGUAAAGCCCUGUCGAGUGGGAAAAAUGGUACCCAGAGUAAUAUGCUGGGUAAUUGAUGGUACCACUAGAGGAAGCACCGGCUAACUUCGUGCCAGCAGCCGCGGUAAUACGAGGGGUGCAAGCGUUGUUCGGAAUUAUUGGGCGUAAAGGGCAGGUAGGUUGUCUUGAAAGUCUACUGUGAAAUCCCCGGGCUCAACCCGGGACGUGCGGUAGAUACUCCAAGACUAGAGUACUGGAGGGGUUCGUGGAAUUCCUGGUGUAGCGGUGAAAUGCGUAGAUAUCAGGAGGAACACCAGAGGCGAAGGCGGCGAACUGGACAGUAACUGACACUCAACUGCGAAAGCGUGGGUAGCAAACAG